ACAAGGGUUAAUCUUGGCUGUCAACUCCACUGCAUCUGGAAUCCACUAAGAAAAAAGCUGCUGGGCCACACCUGUGAGGAAUUUUCUUGAUCACUUUGUUUGAAGUGGGAAGAGCCACUCUCAACAUGUCUGAAGGAGGAGCUCCCUUCUGGCCAGCCAGCCUCAUGUCUGUCUGGCUUGUUUGUCUUGUUACUACCACCUCCACUGCUGCCAUCCUUCCCUGUGCUGGGAUUGAACCCAUGGCCUGCCAUACUCCAGGAAAACAAACCGCUGAACUCUACUCUCAGCCAUUCAAUCCAAUAUCUACUUCUUCUAGCAAGUUGUUUUCCUUGUCUGGGCUUCGGUCUCCUUAUGUAUGCAGUGCAGCCAUGGAUCUUUGACUGAUACCUGGACAACUGGCAGGAGUUGACUUGCUGGAUGUACAUUCUCUGCACUCCCUAGGGCAGGGGGUGACCACACAAGGCCUCCCCAUCAGCUCAGGUUGCCCUUGAAUCUGCUUAACCUCUGAAGUGCUGGGAAUUACAAGUGUGUGCUCACUCAGA
Mastomys coucha (southern multimammate mouse) is the source of this 542-nucleotide long non-coding RNA. RefSeq lists it as uncharacterized. Lineage: Eukaryota; Metazoa; Chordata; Mammalia; Rodentia; Muridae. The transcript has 2 exons. The record is from RefSeq and is a predicted model, not a curated record.